RNAcentral lists this long non-coding RNA (508 nucleotides) under Gallus gallus (chicken). RNAcentral's name for it is "long non-coding RNA NONGGAT001221". Lineage: Eukaryota; Metazoa; Chordata; Aves; Galliformes; Phasianidae. The record is from RNAcentral.
GCGACAUUCUGACAUCACAAGGGUGGAGCCAGGAGCAGCAGCAGGAUCACUCCCUGCAUGUAAAAGCCCUGCCAGCAGGGAGUGGCACAAACAGGAUGGGCAAAUAUGGCAUGGUGCAUCAGAAGGGUGUGAUGUAGCAGUCUGUGUGGGCAUUUCAAGCAAGGAGGGUGAGAAGGGCAGAGUAUCUCUGUGAACUCAGGAGACCAACUCACCUAUCAGCUGCUUCCCAGACAAGAAAUCUAGCUGUGGUCUCCAUUAGGCAGAGAGCUCUGACAAGAAAGAAUAUGUUGACUCAGAUGGAGUGCCUGCCUAAAAAUGUGGUGAUUCACAUCUCCAGCUGCAUUCAGGCCUACAGUGAAGAAGUUGCAGAGAGAAGCCUGAGGAUUAUGAAAAAGGACUUCAAAGCCAUUAGUGGAUGAAGUGAGUGAACAGGUUGUAUUUUCCUCUAUCACUUCAGUGGUAGGGAAGGAUAAUGAAAGGAAAAGGAAAACCUAUUUCAUAAAUGCAU